GGUAACGCCGGGGAAGCGGGCGGGGGAGUAGGGAGGGUACGGGCGUGGAGCGGAAGUACUGGGCGGAAAGCGUGCGGAAGCGGCUGGGUGAGUAAGCCGGGAAAGCCCGGGGCGCAACCGGGGAACGGCGGUGGAGACGACCAGGCGCGAGUGGGGUAGAGGGUCGUGGAAUGCCGGGGGGAGCGGUGAAAUGCGUAGAGAUCCGGAGGAACACCGAUGGCGAAGGCAGCGAGCUGGGGCAACACUGACGCUGAGGCACGAAAGCGUGGGGAGCAAACAGGAUUAGAUACCCGAGGAGUC
This 300-nucleotide ribosomal RNA is filed under the name uncultured Thermus sp. RNAcentral describes it as "bacterial SSU rRNA". The stretch from base 52 to 300 matches the Rfam family "Bacterial small subunit ribosomal RNA", at positions 547 to 795 of the family's 1533-position model. Lineage: Bacteria; Thermotogati; Deinococcota; Deinococci; Thermales; Thermaceae. The record is from RNAcentral.